UGCCCAGCAACUCCUAUCCCUACCUCCUCGCGGUACUGGCCGGGGUACGAGUAACCUUAGGGAAGAUCGGGUAACCAACCCCCGGUGGGAACUUUGGUCGUAUGCUGACAAGGAAGG
RNAcentral lists this ribozyme (117 nucleotides) under Aedes aegypti (yellow fever mosquito). RNAcentral's name for it is "drz-agam-1 ribozyme". It matches the Rfam family "drz-agam-1 ribozyme". Lineage: Eukaryota; Metazoa; Arthropoda; Insecta; Diptera; Culicidae. The record is from Rfam by way of RNAcentral.